CCUACGGGCGGCAGCAGUGAGGAAUAUUGGUCAAUGGACGGGAGUCUGAACCAGCCAUGCCGCGUGCAGGAAGACGGCUCUAUGAGUUGUAAACUUCUUUUGUACAAGGGUAAACCUCGGUACGUGUCUUCAGCUGCGAGUACCGUAAGAAUCAGGAUCGGCUAACUCCGUGCCAGCAGCCGCGGUAAUACGGAGGAUCGAAGCGUUAUCCGGAUUUAUUGGGUUUAAAGGGUGCGUAGGCGGAUUGGUAAGUGAGAGGUGAAAUGUCCGAGCUUAACUCGGGAACUGCCUUGGAUACGGGUGAACUAGAGUGUAGGAGCGGUAGGCGGAAUGCAUGGUGUAGCGGUGAAAUGCUUAGAGAUCACGCAGAACACCGAUUGCGAAGGCAGCUUACCGGUCUAUAACUGACGUUGAGGCACGAAAGCGUGGGGAGCAAACAGGAUUAGAUACCCGAGUAGUC
This 460-nucleotide ribosomal RNA is filed under the name uncultured bacterium. RNAcentral's name for it is "partial 16S ribosomal RNA". It matches the Rfam family "Bacterial small subunit ribosomal RNA", at positions 338 to 795 of the family's 1533-position model. The record is from RNAcentral.